This is an RNA transcript of Aedes albopictus (Asian tiger mosquito), 711 nucleotides long. It is a transcript of the gene named inactive Rho GTPase-activating protein 11B, with no coding region annotated. Lineage: Eukaryota; Metazoa; Arthropoda; Insecta; Diptera; Culicidae. The record is from RefSeq and is a predicted model, not a curated record.
GCGAAAACACGAUCGCACAAUCUCAGUGACCGUUGACAGUGGGAAGGAAAAGUUUCCAAUAUUUUGCAUCGUUUUUGUUUAUCGAAGGAAAUUUUGUGCUAUUUUCAACGUUUUGCUGGCAAUUUGGGUGGAAUUACGCUUGGUUGAACCAUCUAGAAAGUGACGGGGAAGAUGACCUGCUGAAGAAUGGACAAGCUGCGGGUGAAAAUGUUGAUCAAUGACAUCGAAAACAAAGACGAGCUCUUCAACGUCAUUGUCGGUGAAUUGCGUUGCCAUGGGAUCAAGUAUCGGAAGGAAAAGCGGUCCAAACCCGGUCAGGACAAGGGUCGCUGCAAGCGGAUUUUCAAUGUCCCGUUGCAUACGUUGGAACUGACGGAUGUGAUUAUGGCAAACGGGGGCAUAGCGCAGGUUCCACUGUUUGUGUCGGAUGCUUGCCAGCGGAUUCUGGAGCAGGUGAACACAGAGGGACUGUUUCGGAAAGCUGGUUCGUCGAAGCGGCAGCAGGAGAUUAAGGCCAGCCUCGAGUCUGGGCAUCCGCUGGGAAAAUCGCAUCACGUCAUCGAUGUGGCAAAUAUACUGAAAACGUUCUUUCGUGACUUACCGGAAGCUCUACUACCACCGGGAAACAUUCAGGAAGCGCUCAUCCGAUGCCUGAUAUCGGGCGAGCAUAAAGUGUACGAUCUCUUGAUCACCUGCUUGCUGCUUCCUCCC